UACAAGAAUUGAUUACCUGAGACUGAGCUGAUAGAGGACUAAAAAAAAAAAAACUAUACUCACGGGAUCCUGAAGACUAAAGAUGAUUUGACAAAUGACAGCAGUUAUUCAUCAGUGACUUUACUUAUAUCUUAUUUUUUUUGCCACCCUGUGAUGCUAUCGCAAUUUGGUUUUUGUUGCUCUUACAAUUCCUUACUGAAACAUAUUCUCCCCAGAUUACCCAUGUGGAAUAGGACCAUCUGAGAAUGAGUUUUUCUAGUGAUGUGGGACUAAG
RNAcentral lists this long non-coding RNA (274 nucleotides) under Homo sapiens (human). RNAcentral describes it as "non-protein coding lnc-S1PR1-5:1". Lineage: Eukaryota; Metazoa; Chordata; Mammalia; Primates; Hominidae. The record is from RNAcentral.